RNAcentral lists this ribosomal RNA (505 nucleotides) under uncultured bacterium. RNAcentral's name for it is "bacterial SSU rRNA". It matches the Rfam family "Bacterial small subunit ribosomal RNA", at positions 9 to 511 of the family's 1533-position model. The record is from RNAcentral.
GAGUUUGAUCAUGGCUCAGAUUGAACGCUGGCGGCAGGCCUAACACAUGCAAGUCGAGCGGUAGAGAGAAGCUUGCUUCUCUUGAGAGCGGCGGACGGGUGAGUAAUGCCUAGGAAUCUGCCUGGUAGUGGGGGAUAACGCUCGGAAACGGACGCUAAUACCGCAUACGUCCUACGGGAGAAAGCAGGGGACCUUCGGGCCUUGCGCUAUCAGAUGAGCCUAGGUCGGAUUAGCUAGUUGGUGAGGUAAUGGCUCACCAAGGCGACGAUCCGUAACUGGUCUGAGAGGAUGAUCAGUCACACUGGAACUGAGACACGGUCCAGACUCCUACGGGAGGCAGCAGUGGGGAAUAUUGGACAAUGGGCGAAAGCCUGAUCCAGCCAUGCCGCGUGUGUGAAGAAGGUCUUCGGAUUGUAAAGCACUUUAAGUUGGGAGAAGGGCAGUAAUUAAUACUUUGCUGUUUUGACGUUACCGACAGAAUAAGCACCGGCUAACUCUGUGCCAG